GCCUGGGUGGCUCAGUUGGUUAAGUAUCUGACUUCAACUCAGGUCAUGAUCUUGUGGUUUGCGGGUUCGAGCCCUGCGUCGGGCU
RNAcentral lists this transfer RNA (85 nucleotides) under Felis catus (domestic cat). It matches the Rfam family "tRNA". From Rfam's summary of the family: Transfer RNA (tRNA) molecules are approximately 80 nucleotides in length. Their secondary structure includes four short double-helical elements and three loops (D, anti-codon, and T loops). Lineage: Eukaryota; Metazoa; Chordata; Mammalia; Carnivora; Felidae. The record is from Rfam by way of RNAcentral.